This 226-nucleotide ribosomal RNA is filed under the name uncultured bacterium. Its description in RNAcentral is "partial 16S ribosomal RNA". It matches the Rfam family "Bacterial small subunit ribosomal RNA", at positions 524 to 748 of the family's 1533-position model. The record is from RNAcentral.
UACGAAGGGGGCUAGCGUUGCUCGGAAUCACUGGGCGUAAAGGGUGCGUAGGCGGGUUUUUAAGUCAGAGGUGAAAUCCUGGAGCUCAACUCCAGAACUGCCUUUGAUACUGAAAGUCUUGAGUAUGGGAGAGGUGAGUGGAACUGCGAGUGUAGAGGUGAAAUUCGUAGAUAUUCGCAAGAACACCAGUGGCGAAGGCGGACUCACUGGCCCAUUACUGACGCUG